Molecule: RNA transcript, 1970 nt
Organism: Haliotis rufescens (red abalone)
Lineage: Eukaryota; Metazoa; Mollusca; Gastropoda; Lepetellida; Haliotidae
Gene name: carbohydrate-responsive element-binding protein-like
Exons: 8
Source: RefSeq, a predicted model, not a curated record
GCAAUACCAGGUACAGAAGCCUAUUGACUCGGCCCUCUGCUGUCUGUAGGUUGAAUUCCCCGCCGCGGAUGUUCAAUUGCAUUGAUUUGUUUAUGUUUGAUCAAAUCACGUGGCGAGCUAUAAAUAGCACGGCCUCAGAAAGACAACAUAGAGCAACACACGCACAGACAGCGACAUCACAGACAGCUUGCCAUUUUGACGUGAAAACAGGAAAAAAUUGUGCUACUAAGGCUUGAAAUGUUGUUACCUCCAGAGGUAGACGUAUCUGUUUUGGAAGGAGACUUCUCAUUAACCAGCUUUGACGUUUUGGACUUCGUCGAAUCACAGCAGCUGUCUCCUUGUUCAAACACUUCCGUCAACACGUUCCUAAGAGAUCUCAUCCAACAAGGGGUGUCGCAGCCAACAGUCGUCAGCAACAAGGAAGAGUCUGAGACGCAGGAAGAAGUACCUAAACAACAAACCAAUGGGAGAGUGCCACGUCAUAGAAAAAAUUCCCACAUCAAAGCUGAGAAAAAAAGACGGAAGAAAAUCCACGAACAACUCCGCUCGCUUCAUGAUUGCGUUCCGGCACUGGCGCCGAGCAAGAAUGAUAAGAGGCUAAGUGAACUCGAAUCCCUUGAAGAAACUGGAAAAUAUAUUAAAGAGAGGAAGGUCCGCCAUGACACUCGCAAGGACGAGAUAGAGAAACUAAAACGGGAAAGAGAAAGUCUGAAAAUGGAACUGAACACAUUCCAAGCUGCGCUACCAUCCUCGGGGUUAAAGGACACCCGUCAAGAUUCGAUUCUAGAUCGUUACGACGCUUACACCCGCCGGAAGUUCACAGAGACGUGGCGCUAUGGCCUUUAUGACCGGAUUGUAGGCAGGAAGCUUGCAAAAUCAUAUGCCGAGCAGACAAACACCAGCACGGCGGAAACCUACAUACAGAGCCUGAUGAAGUGGACUGGGUCCUGUCUCACGCUCACCAAUCUCAGACCAGCGGUCAUCACCGGCCUCCGGAACGUGUCCACUAGCACAAGCAUUCUGGUCAGCCCAACCGCUGUCAAGCAAGAGCUGGCCCUCUCCAUGCAACAGCAUGUGUCCACUACAUUACCGGCGACUGCAACUACGUCUGUGGUGACUACAGCUGCACCCACGGCUGCAACUACAACUACAACAAGCACGUCAGCUUCGUAUUCUCCAUCGUCAUGACCUAGGUUUGUGGAGGCUGGGCGUGGCUCACUCACCUCCAUGAGGGGAUCGGAGGCGUUCAAGAAUAUUUCACUUACUUGCCCCAUCAAGCCGAAAGCCGGCAGGAUAACAUCUAGGACAACCAUUUGGUAUGAUGCGGCCGGGGAUGGAACCACUGACCUUCCGCACUCCGAGCAGAUGCUCCACCCACGAGACCACGGAGGCGGUCACUUCAGGACAAUCUAUGUGGACUGUCGAUAUCUGGGACUGAAGGAACAAUUCAAAUAUUACCCAUAUGGGCACGAAUGAAGGUGAUAUUAUUUUCAGUAACUCCCAUUCUGCACACAAAUGUUGUGACGUAACGUGAACGGGUCCGUGCAAUAAGCUGGGCUCCGUCUCUUCAUAUCACAAAUUGACGACGAGCAUUGAGAGACUGGAAGCAGCGACCUUUAAAAGAAGGGUUCUCAAGUCUCCACGCAAAAUCGUAUUGGUGUAAAAAGUCCGAUUUUAAUUAGAUUGACUCAAUUUGACAAUCAGGAAUCCCACAUUUUUUAAAUACUUUCUCCGAAACAUGACAAUGGGUAAUUUCAAGUAUAACCCUCAGCUGGAAAUAUUUUCUGGAAUUUGGGCCACCAAGAGCCCACAUAAUAUAUCUGUAAAUGCUGGCUAAGUUUUUCUAUGUCAGGCCUGUCAUUAUGUUUGCUGUAUCAUGAAAUUCUACCAUCGUUUCCUUCCAUCAUAUCGACUUGUUGACGUUUAUAUAUUUUUGUUCUUUGGGAUUGAACGUUUCCCCCUGUUAUGUA